This 115-nucleotide ribosomal RNA is filed under the name Escherichia coli. Its description in RNAcentral is "partial 23S ribosomal RNA". It matches the Rfam family "Bacterial large subunit ribosomal RNA", at positions 1 to 105 of the family's 2925-position model. Lineage: Bacteria; Pseudomonadati; Pseudomonadota; Gammaproteobacteria; Enterobacterales; Enterobacteriaceae. The record is from RNAcentral.
GGGUUGUGAGGUUAAGCGACUAAGCGUACACGGUGGAUGCCCUGGCAGUCAGAGGCGAUGAAGGACGUGCUAAUCUGCGAUAAGCGUCGGUAAGGUGAUAUGAACMGUUAUAACC